AACACGACGCUGGUGGAUGCCUUUGCGCGAGCCAGACGCCGUGUUUUCGACCCGGACGAGGCCUCGAGGACCCAAGCCGCGCGAGUCGAUGUCGAUGCUGACCGAAUCGCACCCCCGUGUGUGGGGGCUACCCGCCGAGUUUAAGCAUAUAAAUAAGCGGAGGAGAAGAAACUUACGCAGGAUUCCUUUAGUAACGGCGAAGAAAUAACCGGAUCGCCCAGCUUUUGAGAAUCCCAAGGCCGCGGUCGUCCUGAAUUGUAGUCCGGAGAAGCCGCCCUCGCCGACGGAUCGCCCAAGUCCCCCCGGAAAGGGGCGCCGGGAGGGGAGAGCCCCGCCCGGCUCGGACCCGCCGCACCACCAGGCGCCGUCAACGAGUCGGUUGUUUGGGGAAUGCAGCCCCACCCGGUGGUAAAUUCGGCCUGCUAAAUAAAUAGAGACCGAUAUAACAAGUACCGCGAGGGAAAGAUGAAAAGGACUUUGAAAAGAGAGUCAAAGAGUGCUUGAAAUUGCCGGAGGGAAGCGGAUGGGGCCGGCGAUGCACCCUCGGCGGAUGCGAACGGUGGUCACCGGUCCGCCGCCGCCAAAAGCGGAUCGAUGCGCGGCUGCCGACGGUCCCAAGCCCGGACGGAUCGCUCGUCCGAGGGGAUACCGCCGACGCUGGUCGAGGAAACGACGCGCGCCAUCGGGCGCGUUCGCUGGGUACACGCGACACUGGCAUCGGCCACGGGUUCCAUCCCAACCCGCCUUGAAACACGGACCAAGGAGUCCGACAUGCGGCGUAGUCGAUGGGUGCGAAACCCGAAGGCACAAGGAAGCCGACCACGGGAACCCUCUCGGGUUUGCACCACCGCCCACCUCGAUCUUCUGGAAGGGUUCGAGUUGGAGCAUGCAUGUCGGGACCAAAGAUGGUGAACUAUGCCCGAAGCGAGGCGGCCGCAGGAAACUCGUGGAGGCCCGGGCGACAUCGACGGCAAAUCGCUCGGGUUCGACUUGGGUAUAGGGGCGAAGACUAAUCGAACCAUCUAGUAGUCGGUUCCUCCCAAGUUUCCCUCGAUAGCCGGAGCCCACACGAAGUUCUAUCGUAAAGCCAAUGAUUAGAGGCAUCGGGGCGAACGCCCUCGACCUAUUCUCAAACUUUAAAUAGGUAGGACGCGCGCCGCAUUGCUGAGAGCCGUCCGCCGAAUCGAGAGCCCGCGGGCCAUUUUUUUUGGUAAGCAGAAUCGGGCGAUGGGGAUGAACCGAAGUCGGGUUACGGUGCUCAAUCAAGGCUAACCCGCACACCACAAAGGGUGUUGGUCGAUUAAGACAAAGCAGGACGGUGGUCAUGGAAGUCGAAACCGCUAAGGAGUGUAACAACUCACCGCCAAUCAACUCAGCCCGAAAUGGAUGGCGCCAAGCGCGCAUCACUACCCGCCAUCGGGAAAGCCGCCAAGCCCCCGCGAGUAGGAGGGCGCGGGCGGUCGCCGCGAAAACCCAGGGCGAAAGCCCGGCGAGCGACUGGCCGGUGCAGAUCUUGGUGGUAGUAGCAAAUAUUCAAAUGAGAACUUUGAAGGUCAAGAGGGGAAAGGUUCCAUGUGAACGGCACUUGCACAUGGGUUAGCCGAUCCUAAGGGAUCGGGGAAGCCCGUCCGAGAGCUGCCUCCGCGAGUUCAAAGGGAAUCGUUAAAAUUCCCGAGCCGACGCCGGGCGGCGACGGCAACGUUAGGAAGUCCCGAGACGCCGGGGGGCCCCGGAAGAGUUAUCUUUUCUGCUUAACGCCCGCCCACCUCGGAAACGGCUCAGCCGGAGGUAGGGUCCAGCGGCCGGAAGAGCCGCACGCCGCGCGGGCGUCCCGGCAGCCUCGGGGGCCCUUUGAAAACCGGAGGACCGAAAAGUGCCGCCGCCCGGCCAGAUUUCAUAACCGCAUCGUUCUCCAAGGUGAACAGCCUCUCGCCCAUGGAACAAUGUAGGCAAGGGAAGUCGGCAAAACGGAUCCGAAUCUCGAAAAGGAUUGGUUCGAGGGUCGGGCACGGGGUCCCGCCUCAACCCGCUUGGCCGUCGGGCGGAUCGCUGAGUCGCUUUCGCGCAGAGAGGGGUCGCCGCCGCGUCGGCCGGGGACGGACGAAUGGCCCCCCUGGGCCUUCCCCGCCGCGCCAGUCGUAACCGGAACCGGUUGACAAGGGGAACUGAUCGCUUAAUUAAAACAAAGCAUUGCGAUGGUCUCGCGAUGCUCACGCGAAUGUGAUUUCUGCCUGCUCAAUGUCAAAGUGAAGAAAUUCAACCAAGCGCCGGUAAAACCAUGGAGUAACUAUGACUUCUUAAGGUAGCCAAAUGCCUCGCCAUCUAAUUAGUGACGCGAUGAAUGGAUUAACGAGAUUCCCAUCGCCCCGUUUACUAUCCAACAAACCACGCCCAAGGGAACCGGGUAAUGCAGAAUCGGGAAAGAAGACCUGUUGAGCUUGACUCUAGUCCCACUUUGUGAAAUGACUUGAGAGGUGUAGGAUAAGUGGGGAGCCGUCACGGCCGAAGUGAAAUACCACUACUUUUUAACGUUAUUUUACUUAUUCGCGAGUUUCGGAGGCGGGGCCGCCCCCUCCUUUUGACCCAAGGCCCGCCAAGGGCCGAUCCCAAGCGGAAGACAUUGUCGUGGGGAGUUUGGUGGGGCGCACAUCUGUUAAAAGAUAACGCAGUGUCCUAAGAUGAGCUCAACGAGAACGUAAAUCUCGGUGGAACAAAAGGGUAAAAGCUCGCUUUGAUUUCGAUUUCCAAAGACAAUAAUAACCGUGAAAGCGUGGCCUAUCGAUCCUUUAGACCUUCGAAUUUGAAGCUAGAGGUGUUUAAAAGUUACCACAGGAUAAUCGCUUGUGGCAGCCAAGCCGCUCAUAGCGACGCUGCUUUUUUUGAUCCUUCGAUGUCCGCUUCUUCCUAUCAUUGUGAAGCGCACCACCAAGUGUUGGAUUGUUCACCCACCAAUAGGGGAACGUGAGUCGGGUUUAGACCGUCGUGAGACAAAGUUAGUUUUACCUCAUCGAUGAUCGUGUCGCCGAUAGUAAUUCAACCUAGUACGAGAGGAACCGCUGAUUCACACAAUUGGUCAUCGCGCUGGUUGAAAAGCUGGCGCUGGUUACCGUAGGUGUCGGAUUAUGACCAACGCCUAAGUCAAUCCUAGUUAGCAACCGGCGCUUCGCCGCUGUUUCGCUUCCGACCCACAAGAGGGUUUUCGCCCCACGGGCUCGUGGUCGCCGGUAGCCCUGCGGUGGUACGCCACCCGUGGCCAUCGGAAGUACAUUCGCACGGACGACGGUCAACUUUUUGCGUGACGCACUUAAAUACGCUGGCGGGGUAUUGUGGGUAGAGUGGGUUUGCUGCCACCAUCCAUCGAGAUCCAGCCCCUGGC
RNAcentral lists this ribosomal RNA (3376 nucleotides) under Musa schizocarpa. Its description in RNAcentral is "eukaryotic LSU rRNA". It matches the Rfam family "Eukaryotic large subunit ribosomal RNA". Lineage: Eukaryota; Viridiplantae; Streptophyta; Magnoliopsida; Zingiberales; Musaceae. The record is from RNAcentral.